This 253-nucleotide ribosomal RNA is filed under the name uncultured bacterium. RNAcentral describes it as "partial 16S ribosomal RNA". It matches the Rfam family "Bacterial small subunit ribosomal RNA", at positions 524 to 776 of the family's 1533-position model. The record is from RNAcentral. RNAcentral also lists the same sequence under 1 other name.
UACGUAGGACCCGAGCGUUGUCCGGAUUCACUGGGUAUAAAGGGUGCGUAGGCGGCCUUGUGCGUCAGAGGUGAAAUAUCCGGGCUUAACCCGGAGGGUGCCUUUGAUACGGCAGGGCUUGAGUCCGAGAGAGGGUGAUGGAAUUCCUGGUGUAGCGGUGAAAUGCGUAGAUAUCAGGAGGAACACCGGUGGCGAAGGCGGUCACCUGGCUCGGAACUGACGCUGAGGCACGAAAGCGCGGGGAUCAAACAGG